UGGAAAAGCAAAGGGUGAGCUCUUCAGUAA
Molecule: non-coding RNA, 30 nt
Filed under: Homo sapiens (human)
Lineage: Eukaryota; Metazoa; Chordata; Mammalia; Primates; Hominidae
Source: RNAcentral